CAUUAAUUUUGUGUGCAUCUUUCAUCUUUACAGUGUGCUACUGGAUUUAUGAUGAAAGUUCAAGUGAACGAUUGGAAAUACUAUCCUUGUUGCAGUACUGCCCGGAUUCAGGAUUUUCUUCAUCAAAGGUCUUUUCAGCAGAAUCAGAUAUCUGGAGGUUCACAUUCCAUUUAAAUGCGUUUUGGCCUUAUCAGGUGCUUCUUGAGACUCACUGAUAUCUCCAGAGCCAUUGUGAGCCAGAAACUUCCUCUAACCCUAUUCCCAAUACAACGUGGGAUCCCAAGCAGAAAAGACCAAAUGUUCUCAUUCUACCCUCUUGUGUGAAGAUUGGCAGCUUCAAUAAAUCUUUAGAUGGAUUUUCACAUUCAGUUUACUAAAUUAGUGAGCUGAAACAGAAGAUAACAGUUAUCAGAGAGCAGAAAAGGAUAUCAAUAGAAGAAAUCAGUACAAAAGAGAAUUCACCUGCCAGAAAUCUCAGAACUCUCAGUGAAGUCAGUGGAAAUGCCUG
RNAcentral lists this long non-coding RNA (508 nucleotides) under Phasianus colchicus (ring-necked pheasant). RNAcentral describes it as "lncRNA (ENSPCLG00000003073.1)". The record is from RNAcentral. Lineage: Eukaryota; Metazoa; Chordata; Aves; Galliformes; Phasianidae.